GUUUCUGUAGUGUAGUGGUCAUCACGUUCAUCUAACAUAUGAAAGGUCCCUGGUUCAGAACCGGGCAGAAACA
Molecule: non-coding RNA, 73 nt
Organism: Pygocentrus nattereri (red-bellied piranha)
Lineage: Eukaryota; Metazoa; Chordata; Actinopteri; Characiformes; Serrasalmidae
Source: the annotation of a RefSeq genome assembly